CAACGGCUCGUAGCGGAAGGCACACUGUCAGUUGGAAGGAAACCACAUUAGCAUUUGGGACAUAGUGGAACAUCGUUUGAAGCUCACACGCUGCACUUUCGGAUUCUUAUUAAUUGAAUUAAUUUGUUAGCCUACCUAGUUAAAUUAAAUUAAAUUGAAUUAUCCUAUAACUAGCUAGAGGGUUACACAUAAGUGAGGUUAAAUUCAAGUAGGCUCGCUCGCCGGUUCUAGAGAAGCUGAAACCUACAAAACGAGAUUUUAAUUUUCCCGUACCGAAAUACAGAAAUUGAAAAUCACGGAACCUGUUUCUCUGUUGCCACAGCAA
Topomyia yanbarensis is the source of this 325-nucleotide long non-coding RNA. RefSeq lists it as uncharacterized. Lineage: Eukaryota; Metazoa; Arthropoda; Insecta; Diptera; Culicidae. The transcript is spliced from 3 exons. The record is from RefSeq and is a predicted model, not a curated record.